RNAcentral lists this ribosomal RNA (711 nucleotides) under Triticum aestivum (bread wheat). RNAcentral describes it as "partial small subunit ribosomal RNA". Lineage: Eukaryota; Viridiplantae; Streptophyta; Magnoliopsida; Poales; Poaceae. The record is from RNAcentral.
AUGGCGCCCAUCCGCAUGACGUGGCUAUCCCGGGACCGGGAUGAGAACCGCCGACGCAUGGCGGGGCUGCUGGCGCGCGGCGGCGUCACCAUGGUGCUCCCGGCCACGCUCGACGCGCUUGUGCUGCUCUGGCUCGCCCGGUGCUGCUACCUUAGAAGGUCGUCAGGCACAGCGCAGCGGAGUCCGGCGCUGACAGGCGUCCGCUGCGACAAAGAUUUGCACGUCAUCAUCAUCAACGCCAGCUGCGCUGGCCUCUCCGACACUCUCUCCGGCACCGACCUCGCCAACCUCAGAUACCUCACAGAGCUCGAUCUUAGCUUCAACAGCCUCGGCGACCCGGAGCUCCGCCUCGCGGCCGUGCUCGACCAGGCCACCGCGGGCAACCUAGAGUUCCGCCUCGCGGCCGUGUUCGACCAGGCCACCGCGGGCAACCUGCUCGCCUUCGCGCUCGAUGGCGCCGGUGAGCAGCGGCUGCAUGAGUGGGAAGGACGGCGCGAACGAGGCGCCCCGGGAGAAGGAGAAGAGCUGCGAGCGGGAAUGACGUCGCGGCGGAGAGGGCGCCCAUUGCUGGCGUGCUUGCUAGCAGCGGGCAGAGCGCGGCCGGCGCGGCCAACCGACGGGCGGGCGCCGGCGGUGCGGGGCCGGCCUGCGGGCGCGCGGGGAGGGGAGCGGUGGAGCUGCAGGGGAGUAGAGGGAGAGAGAGGGGAUUGA